GCUGGGUGUGGUAGCACAUGCCUGUAAUCCCAGCUAUUUGGGAGGCUGAGGCAGGAGAAUUGCUUGAACCUGGGAGGUGGAGGGUGCAGUGAGCUGAGAUCAUGCCACUGCACUCCAGCCUAGGUGACAGAGCAAGACUCUGUCUCAA
RNAcentral lists this non-coding RNA (148 nucleotides) under Nomascus leucogenys (northern white-cheeked gibbon). Lineage: Eukaryota; Metazoa; Chordata; Mammalia; Primates; Hylobatidae. The record is from Rfam by way of RNAcentral.